UACGAAGGGGGCUAGCGUUGCUCGGAAUUACUGGGCGUAAAGCGCACGUAGGCGGUCUUUUAAGUCGGGGGUGAAAUCCUGGAGCUCAACUCCAGAACUGCCUUCGAUACUGGGAGUCUCGAGUUCGGGAGAGGUGAGUGGAACUGCGAGUGUAGAGGUGAAAUUCGUAGAUAUUCGCAAGAACACCAGUGGCGAAGGCGGCUCACUGGCCCGAUACUGACGCUGAGGUGCGAAAGCGUGGGGAGCAAACAGG
Molecule: ribosomal RNA, 253 nt
Filed under: uncultured bacterium
Lineage: Bacteria
Description: partial 16S ribosomal RNA
Rfam family: Bacterial small subunit ribosomal RNA
Source: RNAcentral